Molecule: unclassified non-coding RNA, 431 nt
Filed under: soil metagenome
Description: partial contains 5.8S ribosomal RNA, internal transcribed spacer 2, and large subunit ribosomal RNA
Rfam family: 5.8S ribosomal RNA (bases 2-121)
Source: RNAcentral
GGAUGAAGAACGCAGCGAAAUGCGAUACGUAAUGUGAAUUGCAGAAUUCAGUGAAUCAUCGAAUCUUUGAACGCAUAUUGCGCUCUCUGGUAUUCCGGAGAGCAUGCUUGUUUGAGUAUCAGUAAACACCUCAACUCCCUUUUCUUUUUUGAAAUUGGAGCUGGACUUGAGUGAUCCCAACGCUUUCUUCCAAGAAAGUGGCGGGUUGCUUGAAAUGCAGGUGCAGCUGAACUUUUCUCUGAGCUAUAAGCAUAUCUAUUUAGUCUGCCUAAAAAACAGAUUAUUACCUUUGCUGCAGCUAACAUAAAGGAGACUAGUUCUUGUGCUGACUGAUGCAGGAUUCACAGAGACAGCUUCGGCUGACUUUGUAAACUCGAUCUCAAAUCAAGUAAGACUACCCGCUGAACUUAAGCAUAUCAAUAAGCGGAGGA